AAAGCGCACGUAGGCGGCUUUGUAAGUAAGAGGUGAAAGCCCAGGGCUCAACUCUGGAAUUGCCUUUUAGACUGCAUCGCUUGAAUCAUGGAGAGGUCAGUGGAAUUCCGAGUGUAGAGGUGAAAUUCGUAGAUAUUCGGAAGAACACCAGUGGCGAAGGCGGCUGACUGGACAUGUAUUGACGCUGAGGUGCGAAAGCGUGGGGAGCAAACAGGAUUAGAUACCCGAGU
RNAcentral lists this ribosomal RNA (230 nucleotides) under uncultured bacterium. RNAcentral describes it as "partial 16S ribosomal RNA". It matches the Rfam family "Bacterial small subunit ribosomal RNA", at positions 562 to 791 of the family's 1533-position model. The record is from RNAcentral.